UGACUAAGGUUUCCAGAGGAAGGCUCGUCCGCUCUGGGUUAGUCGGGUCCUAAGCUGAGGCCGACAGGCGUAGGCGAUGGAUAACAGGUUGAUAUUCCUGUACCACCUAUAAUCGUUUUAAUCGAUGGGGGGACGCAGUAGGAUAGGCGAAGCGUGCGAUUGGAUUGCACGUCUAAGCAGUAAGGCUGAGUAUUAGGCAAAUCCGGUACUCGUUAAGGCUGAGCUGUGAUGGGGAGAAGACAUUGUGUCUUCGAGUCGUUGAUUUCACACUGCCGAGAAAAGCCUCUAGAUAGAAAAUAGGUGCCCGUACCGCAAACCGACACAGGUAGUCAAGAUGAGAAUUCUAAGGUGAGCGAGCGAACUCUCGUUAAGGAACUCGGCAAAAUGACCCCGUAACUUCGGGAGAAGGGGUGCUCUUUAGGGUUAACGCCCAGAAGAGCCGCAGUGAAUAGGCCCAAGCGACUGUUUAUUAAAAACACAGCUCUCUGCUAAACCGUAAGG
This 501-nucleotide ribosomal RNA is filed under the name Salmonella enterica subsp. enterica serovar Kentucky. RNAcentral's name for it is "bacterial LSU rRNA". It matches the Rfam family "Bacterial large subunit ribosomal RNA", at positions 1342 to 1838 of the family's 2925-position model. Lineage: Bacteria; Pseudomonadati; Pseudomonadota; Gammaproteobacteria; Enterobacterales; Enterobacteriaceae. The record is from RNAcentral.